This is a non-coding RNA of Coffea arabica (coffee), 584 nucleotides long. NCBI's taxonomy places the organism in Eukaryota, Viridiplantae, Streptophyta, Magnoliopsida, Gentianales, Rubiaceae. The record is from RefSeq and is a predicted model, not a curated record.
AAGGGUUAGAGAGAGAGAGUCGGAUGGUUAAUGAAAGGAGUGGAGAAAAGGGAACCCGCUACCAUCACUGAAAAGUUGGGAGCAGGUAACCUUCUCCCAUCAAUCACAUCUGCAUUUGUUUGUUUGAAAAAGAAGGUGGAAGGUUGUAUGUUUCUCUAAUGCUUCUCAAAGAUGACUCCGGAUCAGAGUCCAAAAUUUGGAAAUUUUCUUCUGUCCUUUCCAAGAACUACUCCAGAAUAUAGCAGCACGACUCAAUACCGUAUCCAGCCUACUUUGUGUAAAAUUAAAGAGGUUACAUAGGACUUUAUCACUUGUUGCUUUUCCAUUAUUACAGGAUCCAAGUAACUAACUCUACAUCAAUUCUUUGGAAGUUGAUGCUAAGGCAUGUGUAGACUUCGUGGCAAAAGUAGUUGGAGUAACUUCGGGACCAAAAGGAAGAAUUUUGGUGUUGCACAUUAAAUUGCAUCCCAAGAUUGUUAAAGAUACUGAAAGUGUUUUAAACAGGAUGAAACAUAUUCAGCUUUCAUAUGGGAUUUGAUAAAACUACCAAAACAUGAUGCAUGUAGAGAUGGAAGACUACGUAG